GAACCACGCUAGGGGUCCUGCCGGCCACGCCGCCGCGCGGGUGAGAAACACCCUCUGAACCUGACCCGGAUAAUACCGGCGUAGGGAAGCGAACCGGCCGCCAC
RNAcentral lists this non-coding RNA (104 nucleotides) under Crenobacter luteus. RNAcentral's name for it is "TPP sequence". It matches the Rfam family "TPP riboswitch aptamer (THI element)". From Rfam's summary of the family: Vitamin B(1) in its active form thiamin pyrophosphate (TPP) is an essential coenzyme that is synthesised by coupling of pyrimidine and thiazole moieties in bacteria. The previously detected thiamin-regulatory element, thi box was extended, resulting in a new, highly conserved RNA secondary structure, the THI element, which is widely distributed in eubacteria and also occurs in some archaea. The record is from Rfam by way of RNAcentral. Lineage: Bacteria; Pseudomonadati; Pseudomonadota; Betaproteobacteria; Neisseriales; Neisseriaceae.